AAGAUCAUAUUUUCAGGAUCAUUUCUAUAGUCUUUGACUUGAGAAAUAUCGCAGGAUAAAGUGAUCGGUUACUCUAACCACGAUGAAGAGAACUGAUGUUCCCUUCUGAUAAAUGGCAGUGAGUGAUGAUGCAUUUCAUCCGCUCCUUGCCAUUGAUGACCGUUCCAUGCUCUCUAGUGGAGCCUGGAGGUAGGGAUCAUGAUCAGAGUGGU
Molecule: small nucleolar RNA, 212 nt
Gene: U3
Rfam family: Small nucleolar RNA U3
About the family: Small nucleolar RNAs (snoRNAs) are involved in the processing and modification of rRNA in the nucleolus. There are two main classes of snoRNAs: the box C/D class, and the box H/ACA class. U3 snoRNA is a member of the box C/D class.
Source: Ensembl